RNAcentral lists this ribosomal RNA (197 nucleotides) under uncultured bacterium. RNAcentral's name for it is "partial 16S ribosomal RNA". It matches the Rfam family "Bacterial small subunit ribosomal RNA", at positions 328 to 539 of the family's 1533-position model. The record is from RNAcentral.
ACGCUCGACACCUACGGGAGCAGCAGUGGGGAAUAUUGCACAAUGGGGGAAACCCUGAUGCAGCGAUGCCGCGUGAAGGAAGAAGUAUCUCGGUAUGUAAACUUCUAUCAGCAGGGAAGAAAAUGACGGUACCUGACUAAGAAGCCCCGGCUAACUACGUGCCAGUAGCCGCGGUAAUCUGAGCGGGCUGGCAAGGC